AGGUCACCAUGGAGGAAAAGGCAAAUUGUGCCACGUCAGCACUUAUCCUACCACUUUCCCGUAAUCUGUAAAAAAUACUCAAAGAUGGCAAUGUCCAAUAUUCACAAAGCCCAACUACUCAGAACUCUCUUCCUGCCUUUCCCCUGCACUGUUCACGAUCUCUGAAAUCUUCCUACACUACGGUUUCAGAUCUGUAACACUUUACCUUGACGAUGAGAGUUUGUCUUUUUUUCUCACCAUUGAUUGGUCCUUCAAUAUUUCCCACUACAGUUUAUUCAAUUGCCUCCUUCUCAAAAGUCCAGAUGAAAACCCUAAAAAAAAAAUUCUAUAAAUAACGUCUUAGAAAUCUUCAGAUCAAGUUGUUUCAACAGAAUAUCAUCUCCUUCUUACAACGUAACCUGCAUCAAUGGUGGCUUACCAGACCUUUUUCUAAUGUUAGCACUGGUCGUUGUUCCGAUACGGUCGUCACGAUUAUGGGAAACCCCAAAGGGAGGAGAGCUGAUGGGAGUGGACAUGCUCCUUCUUGAUGAAAAGGUAUGGUCAAUCAUCAGGGAAGCCCAGCGAACAAAAUACUUAUGCUGAUAUCGAAGCUGCUUACAAAUGUCUGGAAGAGAACUAUGGAGCAAAGCAGGAGAACAUUAUCCUCUAUCAAUCUAUCGGUAGUGGUUCGACCGUCGAUUUAGCUGCACGUUUGCCUCGGAGUGCAGGAGAUUUAUAUUAGCAGUGUAGUAUAACAAAAACUAGACUGAAUAAAAUAUUAAACAAGAAUAAUUUACAUUA
Brassica napus (rape) is the source of this 780-nucleotide long non-coding RNA. RefSeq lists it as uncharacterized. The transcript has 3 exons. NCBI's taxonomy places the organism in Eukaryota, Viridiplantae, Streptophyta, Magnoliopsida, Brassicales, Brassicaceae. The record is from RefSeq and is a predicted model, not a curated record.